Molecule: ribosomal RNA, 468 nt
Filed under: uncultured bacterium
Lineage: Bacteria
Description: partial 16S ribosomal RNA
Rfam family: Bacterial small subunit ribosomal RNA
Source: RNAcentral
GACGAACGCUGGCGGCGUGCUUAACACAUGCAAGUCGAACGGAAAGACCCUGCUUUUGUGGGGUGCUCGAGUGGCGAACGGGUGAGUAACACGUGAGUAACCUGCCCUUGACUUUGGGAUAACUUCAGGAAACUGGGGCUAAUACCGGUUAGGAGCUCCUGCUGCAUGGUGGGGGUUGGAAAGUUUCGGCGGUUGGGGAUGGACUCGCGGCUUAUCAGCUUGUUGGUGGGGUAGUGGCUUACCAAGGCUUUGACGGGUAGCCGGCCUGAGAGGGUGACCGGCCACAUUGGGACUGAGAUACGGCCCAGACUCCUACGGGAGGCAGCAGUGGGGAAUAUUGCACAAUGGGCGGAAGCCUGAUGCAGCAACGCCGCGUGCGGGAUGACGGCCUUCGGGUUGUAAACCGCUUUCGCCUGUGACGAAGCGUGAGUGACGGUAAUGGGUAAAGAAGCACCGGCUAACUACGUG